AUGGUAAAAGUUAGAAAAACAAUGAUAAACGCACCAUACUAGCAGCAUCCCUAACAAUUUUUUUUUAUAAUGGUCUAUAUCUCAAGUCAACAUAAGAUCAUUUGCUCCCAGAUGAGGGCGGAGGCAAACGCGAACUUCGUGCUCUUCAGGUCCAACGCGAUGUUUUGGCACCAUGAUCUCUAGCACUGAUCCUGGCUCAUCAUAGUAUGCUUCCAGAUUGGCGUCUUCAGGAAUUCUGGUUGAGAGAGAAAUUUCGCGGACAAAUUCUCCAGGGGGGCAGUGCUCUGAGGAUGCAUCUGUAAGCUUGAAUGUCCUAUCACGUCUCUUGAUAAAAGGCUUUCGAGAUGUGCUCAUACAAGAAACCUUGAUGAUACCAUGAGUAAGAGUGUUCCUCCAUGAAACUUUCACACUUGCAAGAUCUACAAAGGGCAGACUGAUUAUAAUCAAGUAACCUUGUUCAUCCUCAUAGAUAGUUUUUGCAGCUGUAACAGGUCCAUAAGCAUUCUUUAUCACCCCGCUUAAGUCAUUUAACCAGUGUGGCUCACUUGGGUGCAUUUCUAUGUCUUGGAUCUGAUCGGAUGGAGGAUUAACAGCCAAGUAACAUUCUUCAUCAAUUACAUUUCCGUUACCAUUUCCACGAGGGAAAAAGUCUUUUCUCUUUUUUCCGUUGACAGGAGACAAGUCCAAUCCAUCGCCGUUAUUAGACAGAUGAGUUGACAAAUUCAAUCCAGAUCCAUUAAGCAGCUUCUUUGGGUGUGCAUUUGCAGUACCCUUGAUUGAAGGAAUAGGUCUAUCAAGCUCAAAGUCUGUGUUGGGAAGAUUUCUCCAUGAACUAAAAUCGCUUGCUUCAGGUGGGACUGUAAAAUUCAAAUCUCGGCCGGUGAGUUCAAUCCACCUUUUCCGAUCAUCCUCAUCAAGAUUCAUCAGAUUGGGGGAAGGAAAAACCUCAAUGCCAUGCACACACUGAGGGUUUGACAGUCCCCGAUAAUGCUUCCUUUGCAUCCGGUGGGAUCGAACAAAACCUUUGUCAACACUGAAAGGAAACGGGCGCUCCCCUUGGCGAGAAUGCCCAUUCAUGUAACUCCUCAGCUGCAUCUUACCCAAUGCAUUUUCAGGCCUCUCCUUGAAAACCCACAUGUACAUAUUUUCCAUGUCAUGUUGAACCAUGAAAACAUCAAGAUUGAGAUCACAUUUCUCAAAACCUGAAAUGCCAUUACCGUCUCUAACAAUCUUGGCCUUGGAUUUAUCAUUCAAGGAAGGCUUAAAGUAAAAACUGAAGAAAAACCAAGCACCCCACAUGCUAUCAACUCGCUUAGCACAUUUCCUUCCAACUUUGGGCAGAGUGAGAAAAGUCUCAGUCUCAUACCCUUGAGUACCAAGACUAACAUCCAAAAUAUCACAAGGAUCAGAAUUCCAUGACUGCGGAGGCGGACUACGUUCGGCAGAUAACGGCAAAUUGAUAUCUGGCGGGCGAGAAAGUAUGAUUUGGCGAUUCAUCUCCAAGUCCAGUUCCUCAUGAGAAGAUGCACUUGAAUCCAUGGACAAUAACGUGGAAGGGUGAUGAUUCUCCAUUGAGAAAGAAGCAAAACAAGAAUCGCCAAUGCUACCUCAUCUUGUUGUUGAUGAGUUGUUGUUUUAUUGCUGGUUGAUACAAUAUUGCCAUCCCAAAAAUAAUUCAACAAAAAAACCUUAUAAACAACACCUUCAUCGUAUCAAUACCCACUAUAUUUAUCAAUUCAAUUUGAGAGGAAACAAAAAACACAAAAAUCAACAAAUCCAAAUAAUUUAAAAUAGUUCCUUUUCUAUUUUUUUUCUAUAAAUUCAUAAAUAAACAUACUCAACAACAAUAAAUACAAUUACAAAUAUAUGUAUAUUAUAUAUCUCUCUGUUCAAUCUAUUCAAGAGAUUUUGAAAAAUGCUAAAAGAGAAUUAUACUCAACCCUAUUUAUCGUAUCUGGAUAAACCCUCCAAAAUCAAGGGGAAAAUAGUGAAACUGAAUCAAAUCCAUAAAACAGAAAUAAAUAAAAUAGAGUCUCUGAAAAAAGACUCAAUAAAAAGGAAAUAGAUCUUCAAAGAUUACCUUUUAGGAUAAGCAUCAGAGAAUCGAGAAGAACAGGAACCUCCAUAACCGACGAUGAUGCGCUUCAUAAUAUCAUCGACAACCAUGUUUUCAACAAACUCUCCAGAGUAAUUUUCGUCAUUUUCUACAAUUAUUAUUAUUUAUAUUUUUUUCCCAAAUAAAAACCCUAAUUUUGUUUUUGUUGUUGUUCACAUCACGUAAGACAAUUCACCUUUUUGGAAUACAGCGUUUUACUGCGGCGGUGCAUCAACUCUCUCUCUCUCUCUCUCUCUCUCUCUCUUUUAUUUUUUAUUUUUUUACUUAUUUUUUAUAUAUAUUCUUUGCAUCCAAUCUCUAUACUUUAUCGUAUUAUCAUAAUGUAUUAUUAUUAGUUAGUCUUCAAUUUUAAUUUGUCAUCUUGCAUCACCCACAAAACAAAAUAUCAUCUUAUAUAUUUACGAUUAAUAAUCAUUUAUAGUGAUAGAAAAAAUAAUUAUUUAUCAUUAAUCGAUAAAGAUAUUUAGACAUCACAAUGUAGGACACUAUAUUUUUAUACAAUUUUCUUCUUCUUUCUAUUCGAGUAUACCUCAUUUUCUAUACAUAUUUAGUUGUUUGUAGAUUUAUAUAGUGUUAAGUAUGAUGUUGACAAAUUUAUGUCCAAACGACAGUGUCUUUCAUUCAUUUUGAUCAAGAUUAUAAUUUUAAAGAGUUUUAUUUAAUACAAUGAAGAAAUAAAAGAUAAAAACUAAGUAACAAAUAAUCAGAGUUAUGUAAAAGAUAGUUGAUUGGGUAACUCAAUCUCUUCUUUUUAAUCUAGAUUAGUCCGAUUAUCAUUAGAACGAUUUGCCUCUUAAUAAAUACGAGACACCUUACAAUUUCAAUCCCCAUGAUCCAACAAAUCCAAAGCAUCAAGAAUAAGAGAUUUAGGAUAAAGAUUAUGAGACUUUUGAGAAAUCGUCGAUUAAUCAACUAAUUUAUGUUAAGGGUUAAAAAAGUGGAAAUUUUGAGUUCAAAUCUAAGUGAAAGAAAAAAUUAAUAUAAUAAUUAAUUAUUAACUUUGAUAAUUUAAAAAAAAACGAUGAUAAAAUUCAUCUCCUUAAAAAGAGACAUUCAUCUCUUUAAAAGAGACAUUUAUAAACCCCAAAGCUCAACUAUAACUAUCUUAUAUUGACCAAAAUUACAAUUGAAUCCCUAAAGAUAACAACCAUUGAAUCUCUGGUAAGAUCGACACAAGCUGACCUACCAAUAAUUUUAAUAUGGGACUCAUGACAUUAAACUUGAAAGAAGAGGAGGGUGUGAGACAUCCUCUGUCACAAAAAUAUUAUAAAAUGUAUAUUGUAUAAAAAAUAUAGGUAAAGUUGGUCCAAAAUAAAACAUAUACAGAUCACAAUUAAAAACAUGUAGAAAUAACAAAUUUAAAAAAGAGUUCAACCCAAAAAUUUUCACUCUAAUAAGAGUUUACUGUAAACAAAUCUCACAUUUAUUAGUAGACUAACAUGUUAAGAACUAAGAUAAUUAAACUACUAUCUACGACAUUGACAUCAUAUCUCUGUCUCUUCUUCGUGACAAUUAUUUCAUCUGUUGUUAUCUCAUCAUCUACCUACACAUGUAAUGUGUAAGCGCGACAUGAAAAAACUAAAGACGACUCAUCAUUCUCAAAACAUAAUAAAAUAGAGUAAAGUAAAUUAAAUGCACAUUCAAUAUAAUAAUAUUUAACACAACAAUACCAACAAAUGCAUUAUAACAUGAUACAAAUCCUAAUCAACCUAUACUUAUUGCUGGAUCCAUUUAACUAUGUGUUGAUACAAGUAAAGAAGCCACUUGCUAUUCUAUGAACAAGAGUGUCUAGUUAGGAUUCAAAACAACUUCAAUCCUAUGCCAACACUGACGAUUCAAAAGAUUCAAAAGUCUCCUUGAAAACGCACAUCUACAUGUUUUUCUAAUCAUACUAAACCAUGAAAACAUCAUUGUUUUAAAUCAGAUUUCUCAAACCCCAAAGCACCAUUAUUAUCAUCCCUAAUACAGUUGCCUUAGAUUUUCCAAGCAACGCAAGCUUAAAGUAAAAUUUGAAGAAAAACCAAGCAUCCCAAAUGGUAUCAACACGCUUCAAAUAUUUCUUUCCAACGUUCGGAAGAUUAAGCAAACUCUUAGUCUCAUAUCCACCUUGAGUACCAAGACCAACAUCCAAAAUAUCAAAAAGGUCAGAAUUCAACAAAACAACCUUAUAAUCACCAUCAACUUUACAUCAACAAACACCCAUAACAAUAGCAACUAAAACCCUCCAUAUAAAAAAAAAAAAAAAAAAAACUAGAUUUAUAAAUUAGAUAAUGUACAUAAUGCAUAAUAUAAGACCCUGGAUAAUUUUAGUUGUCCAUUUUUAUAAGAUUCUUUUUAAAUUGUAAAUUAUAUUAAUUAUUUUUUUACUGUGUAAAUAAUUUACAUCUUUUUUUCUUUCAAUCAACAAUAAAUAUUAUAAUAGAAACGUUAAUUAAUUCUCUCUCUUUAAAUAUAUAUUUGUAAAAACAAUAUCAAUUCUUAACAAAUUUGAUAUUACCAUUCAUUUUCUUCAUUUUCAAGAGUUAGCCAAAUAGAUCUUAUACUUAAAGACAAAAGUAAUUUUAUUUUCUUAUAAACAAAAAAUCACAUAUACAAACAAAAAUAUCACAUAUCAAAACUUGAUUUAAGUCUUGCUUACUAUUGAAAACUAUUGUACUGUGGUGUUAUUAUAUUAUCUAAAUGAAUUAAAAUUACAAAUCAUCUUUGUGUGUAACCUAAGUAAUCAAAGGUGUUCAAAGACAAAGUUGAAAACCAAAAUAAACAUUCAAAAAUAUAAUUUUUUAUUUUACCAUAAUAAUCCUAUCUCACACAGCUAAGUAUUUCUUUUGUCUCAUUUGUCAUUUUUCUUUAUCUUAAAUUAUUUUUCAUUUUACAAUAUAAAUUAUUUUUAAAAAAUACUAGGACACUUGUUAAACAUCUAAAAAUAGAAACUUUACAAUCCAAAUAUAUUAGAAUUUGUGCAUUCAUCACUUUGAAAGUAAAAAUAUUUUUUUCAAUGUAAAAUGACCAUUUCUUGAUUGCUUAACAAAUGUUCUAACGACACUUAUUAACAUCAUACAUUACUUCUUCUACUAAUAUACAUUUAUGUGUUGUAUCUUAGUUGAUCAAAUUUCUCAACUACUUACAAUUAAUAAGAAUAUUUAAAUAAACAAUGUUUUUUUAUAUUAAAAUUAAUAAAACUAAUUAUUUUCUUAAGAAUCACACAGAGCUUACGAUUAAAAUGAGACAAUAAUAAAGUAUAAAAAAUGAUAUGUCCACGUAAACAAUUGCUUGCUUGUUUUCCCUUUCACCCAAAAUGUCACCCCAACAAGCCGCGUAUUUUUUUCCAUGUUGAGGCACAACAUGAUAGGCACAACUGAAAUGGGACAUAUUUUUGACUUUAUUAAUAACAGGAAUGAUUCCUCAGUCACGUAAUGUGAUAAGCAAAAAAUAUCUUCUUCUGUUAAUAAAGUCAACAUAUCAUCCACAAUCGCAACAAUGUGGAAAUAUAAAAAACACUAUUCUACAUGGAACAUUUUCUUCAAGAUUACUUAACAGACAAUGAAUAUUACUUUGUCUUUUAAAAAGUAGGAUGUAUAGUGAAUUGAAAAUUUCGUUAGAAAAACUGUUAUAAUCCACCGUUAAUUCCAUAACAUAAGGAAUCAUGUUAGUGGAAGUUAACUCUAUUAUUGAAUUAUGUUAUCAUUACAUUUUGCAACUGCUGCGUAGUGUCAAUUAUUUGGGAGGAGAAUAACAAGACAAUAAAACUGAUAAAACAGAAAGUUAAGUGGUGGAGGGAAAUCUGCUGAAUAUAUUUGUCCACUGUAUCAUUCCACUGAGCAAUGAAUCAUUCAACUCUUCUUCUAUUUUCAGUAAUAAAAUAAUCCAAAUGUAUAUGAUAAUUUCUUAAUCUUAUACAUGAUUAUGCUUACAAUCAAAAGCUUGAAGAUGCACUGGAACAAAAAAAGAACCAGGGCAAUUAGUGAGCUAAACUAUAACUGCUACAGACAAAGCAAGAUAACAUCAUUUCUAUUAAAAAUAACACUGCAUGGUACAAGUUAGAAAAACAAUGAUAAAGGCACCAUACUAGCAGCAUCCCUAACAAUUUUUUUUAAUGGUCUAUAUCUCAAGUCAACAUAAGAUCAUUCCCUCCCAGAUGAGGGCGGAGGCAAACGCGAACUUCGUGCUCUUCAGGUCCAACGCGAUGUUUUGGCACCAUGAUCUCUAGCACUGAUCCUGGCUCAUCAUAGUAUGCUUCCAGAUUGGCGUCUUCAGGAAUUCUGGUUGAGAGAGAAAUUUCGCGGACAAAUUCUCCAGGGGGGCAGUGCUCUGAGGAUGCAUCUG
RNAcentral lists this long non-coding RNA (6439 nucleotides) under Cicer arietinum (chickpea). RNAcentral describes it as "long non-coding RNA (CARI_LNC000920)". The record is from RNAcentral. Lineage: Eukaryota; Viridiplantae; Streptophyta; Magnoliopsida; Fabales; Fabaceae.